Molecule: long non-coding RNA, 544 nt
Organism: Saccostrea cuccullata (small rock oyster)
Lineage: Eukaryota; Metazoa; Mollusca; Bivalvia; Ostreida; Ostreidae
Exons: 2
Source: RefSeq, a predicted model, not a curated record
UCAAGAGGUCAUAGAUGUGCGUUUGGAUAAACGUUCGACGUAAUCUCUGUGUGACGUCAUAAAGGGUCGACGCGCGUUUAGUUGAUUACAAACAAGCUGUUGGGUUUGAAAAAUAACGCAUUUCGCACGUUAAAAGUAACAAUCAGGCAAAUUUAAAGUAUGAAUAAGUCACAAAUGUAAAUAUAAGUAAUAAGGGCUUUAUGGAAGAUUUGAUCAUGUGUCAACCCGUUUUACAUCUCAAUAAAACUCAAAAAUGAUACCUUAUUACUUAUAUUUACAUUCGUGACUUAUUCAUACUUUAUAUUUGCCUGAUUGUUACUUUUAACGUGUGAAAUGCGUUAAUUUUUCAAACCCAACGGCAUGUAUGUAAUCUACUAAACGCGCGUCGACCCUUUAUGACGUCACAGAGAAAUUACGUGGAACGUUUAUCCAAACGCACAUCUAUGACCUCUUGACCCCAAACCUGUAUUUACACAGUUAUAAAAACGCUUGCCUUCAGUAGUGUUAUGUAAAGGAAAACAUUUGCAAAUGUAAAUAUUUGUUU